RNAcentral lists this ribosomal RNA (330 nucleotides) under Triticum aestivum (bread wheat). RNAcentral's name for it is "partial small subunit ribosomal RNA". Lineage: Eukaryota; Viridiplantae; Streptophyta; Magnoliopsida; Poales; Poaceae. The record is from RNAcentral.
CUCUCCCCCAUUCAUCUCAACCCGGAGAGAAUGGAUACCAUCUCCUGGAAGCUAAUGAAUGAUGGCCAAUACUCCGCUGCAUCGGCAUAUGAGGUCCAGUUCAGGAGCUUAGUUGACACGGAACUCGUGCAAACGGUCUGGAAGAAUUGGGCUCGUCCAAAAUGCAAGUUUUUCGCUUGGCUUGUCAUCAACAACAGGGUUUGGCCGGCAGGCCGGCUGCAGCGACAGGGAUGGCCUAAUUGCAAGCUUUGCCCCAUUUGUAAACAAGUCCAAGAAUCAGCGGGACACCUUCUCUUUCAAUGCAGAUACACAGCUAGAUUUGGGCUUUGA